Molecule: ribosomal RNA, 466 nt
Filed under: uncultured bacterium
Lineage: Bacteria
Description: partial 16S ribosomal RNA
Rfam family: Bacterial small subunit ribosomal RNA
Source: RNAcentral
AUGAACGCUGGCGGCGUGCUUAACACAUGCCAGUCGAACGGUGAAGCAGAGCUUGCUCUGUGGAUCAGUGGCGAACGGGUGAGUAACACGUGAGCAACCUGCCCCUGACUCUGGGAUAAGCGCUGGAAACGGCGUCUAAUACUGGAUAUGAGCUGCGACCGCAUGGUCAGCAGUUGGAAAGAUUUUUCGGUCUGGGAUGGGCUCACGGCCUAUCAGCUUGUUGGUGAGGUAAUGGCUCACCAAGGCGUCGACGGGUAGCCGGCCUGAGAGGGUGACCGGCCACACUGGGACUGAGACACGGCCCAGACUCCUACGGGAGGCAGCAGUGGGGAAUAUUGCACAAUGGGCGAAAGCCUGAUGCAGCAACGCCGCGUGAGGGAUGACGGCCUUCGGGUUGUAAACCUCUUUUAGCAGGGAAGAAGCGAAAGCGACGGUACCUGCAGAAAAAGCGCCGGCUAACUACGUG